RNAcentral lists this ribosomal RNA (692 nucleotides) under Flavobacterium sp. T96.09.B.BNT.WR.H.Gill.D.M. RNAcentral describes it as "bacterial SSU rRNA". It matches the Rfam family "Bacterial small subunit ribosomal RNA", at positions 60 to 752 of the family's 1533-position model. Lineage: Bacteria; Pseudomonadati; Bacteroidota; Flavobacteriia; Flavobacteriales; Flavobacteriaceae. The record is from RNAcentral.
AGUCGAGGGGUAUAUGUCUUCGGAUAUAGAGACCGGCGCACGGGUGCGUAACGCGUAUGCAAUCUACCUUUUACAGAGGGAUAGCCCAGAGAAAUUUGGAUUAAUACCUCAUAGUAUAGCUCUACCGCAUGGUAGUACUAUUAAAGUCACAACGGUAAAAGAUGAGCAUGCGUCCCAUUAGCUAGUUGGUAAGGUAACGGCUUACCAAGGCAACGAUGGGUAGGGGUCCUGAGAGGGAGAUCCCCCACACUGGUACUGAGACACGGACCAGACUCCUACGGGAGGCAGCAGUGAGGAAUAUUGGACAAUGGGCGCAAGCCUGAUCCAGCCAUGCCGCGUGCAGGAUGACGGUCCUAUGGAUUGUAAACUGCUUUUGUACGAGAAGAAACACUGCUUCGUGAAGCAGCUUGACGGUAUCGUAAGAAUAAGGAUCGGCUAACUCCGUGCCAGCAGCCGCGGUAAUACGGAGGAUCCAAGCGUUAUCCGGAAUCAUUGGGUUUAAAGGGUCCGUAGGCGGUUUAGUAAGUCAGUGGUGAAAGCCCAUCGCUCAACGGUGGAACGGCCAUUGAUACUGCUGAACUUGAAUUAUUAGGAAGUAACUAGAAUAUGUAGUGUAGCGGUGAAAUGCUUAGAGAUUACAUGGAAUACCAAUUGCGAAGGGCAGGUUACUACUAAUUGAUUGACGCUGAUGG